AACGCACAUUGCGCCCCUUGGCAUUCCGAGGGGCAUGCCUGUUCGAGCGUCAUUACAACCCUCAAGCCUGGCUUGGUGUUGGGGCCCGCGGUCUCGCGGCCCCUAAAAUCAGUGGCGGUGCCUUCUGGCUCUCAGCGUAGUAAUUCUUCUCGCUACAGGGUCCGGUGGGCGGCGGCCAGAACCCCCCAUUUUUUAGUUUGACCUCGGAUCAGGUAGGGAUACCCGCUGAACUUAA
RNAcentral lists this unclassified non-coding RNA (235 nucleotides) under uncultured fungus. Its description in RNAcentral is "sequence contains ITS2". The record is from RNAcentral. Lineage: Eukaryota; Fungi.